This is a long non-coding RNA of Syngnathoides biaculeatus (alligator pipefish), 418 nucleotides long. RefSeq lists it as uncharacterized. The record is from RefSeq and is a predicted model, not a curated record. The transcript has 2 exons. Lineage: Eukaryota; Metazoa; Chordata; Actinopteri; Syngnathiformes; Syngnathidae.
CGACCAGCCAAUCGCAGGGACGCUCUCUCAGUCACGUGACGUCACAUACGAAGAAAGCGCAUCUGGAUCGGUUCUGACCCGAAGCGGCACAGACGUCAUAACGGCCCUCUGAGGGGAAACCAGAACAACGAUGCGGCCCGCGGGAAAAACGAGUUUGACGCCCCUGACGUAGAUGAAGAUGGCACUUGGGAACCGGACGCUAAUCGCCGCCAGAGGCGGAAGCGGAAAUGGCUGACCUCGUAAUUGCCGUGUUGCUAGCGAGUGAAAUUAGUUGGCGGACAAAAAUGGAACAACAGAGUAUGUGGUUGCUCUCCUGCAGGCACAGCGUGCACGAAGAAGGUCCAGUAUUAAAAUGAGGCCCUCUUGAUUGUACAGUACGCUAACUAACACCGACGCUAGCUCCAAGGGCUACAGCAGG